CUGAUUCUCGUUUAAAGUUGAACCAUCAUUCGAACUCCUCUUAUACGAGUCUGAUCCGCUCUAUUGUGGUUGUAUGGUCGCCACACCUCUGUUCGACGCCACCGGUUCAGUCGUUCCAGAUCUCAAUCUCUGGUUCAUUCCGGUCACAGGUACCUAGUCGCCGAUUCGAAACCAUCAGAUAGACUGCCCGCACCCCAGUGACCACAACGAUCGCCGCCACAACCACCGCGAUCGCCGCCACACCUAGUUCAAAGCUUUUGAUUAGCGUCUCCGACUCACCAACUGCGACCAUCUCUAUUCAUUGUCUUAUAUAAUCGUCUCCGCACCUCCGUCUGUCGCGAAAUUUUGUCAUUUGAUGCCUCCGAUCCGCAAUCAGUUGUAUUCCGACGACUUCGACAACCGUCACCAACGGACGAACCACCACUUCCUGUCUUAAUCGUUGCCGCCGUGACUACGCGUAAACCGGCUAUUCCUUCGUUUGGCUCGGUUUCUGUCCGAUCAGAAGUGGAAGGUUCGCUUACGAAUUAAGGACGGACUGGUUUUUGAAUUGCUUUGCUUGCUCAAUCAAGGUAAUCAAGGGAAACGGGGAUGAGGGAGAGAAAAAAAUGAAGUUUAUGAAGUUUUUGAAGUUUCCGUGUUUACUUAUUUUUUUAGUAAUUGAAUAAUAUAAGACCUAGGUUUUCUGGUGGAUUCGAGACUUUUGUUUCUUGGUUUCUAUCGUUUAUUGAAACUCUUUGGUUUUUGAU
This is a long non-coding RNA of Helianthus annuus (common sunflower), 746 nucleotides long. RefSeq lists it as uncharacterized. Lineage: Eukaryota; Viridiplantae; Streptophyta; Magnoliopsida; Asterales; Asteraceae. The record is from RefSeq and is a predicted model, not a curated record. The transcript has 4 exons.